UCCGUAGGUGUAACCUGCGGAGGGAUCAUUACACAACAAAAAUAUGAGGGUGUGGUUUGCUGGCAACAGCGUCCGCCCCAAGUAUUUUUCACCCAUGUCUUUUGCGCACUUUUUGUUUCCUGGGCGAGUUCGCUCGCCACCAGGACCCAACCAUAAACCUUUUUUUAUGCAGUUGCAAUCAGCGUCAGUAUAAUAAUUCAAUUUAUUAAAACUUUCAACAACGGAUCUCUUGGUUCUGGCAUCGAUGAAGAACGCAGCGAAAUGCGAUACGUAGUGUGAAUUGCAGAAUUCAGUGAAUCAUCGAAUCUUUGAACGCACAUUGCGCCCUUUGGUAUUCCAAAGGGCAUGCCUGUUCGAGCGUCAUUUGUACCCUCAAGCUUUGCUUGGUGUUGGGCGUCUUUUUGUCUCUCCCCUUGUUGGGGGAGACUCGCCUUAAAACGAUUGGCAGCCGACCUACUGGUUUUCGGAGCGCAGCACAAAUUUGCGCCUUCCAAUCCACGGGGCGGCAUCCAGCAAGCCUUUGUUUUCUAUAACAAAUCCACAUUUUGACCUCGGAUCAGGUAGGGAUACCCGCUGAACUUAAGCAUAUCAAUAA
RNAcentral lists this ribosomal RNA (595 nucleotides) under Exserohilum rostratum. RNAcentral's name for it is "eukaryotic LSU rRNA". The stretch from base 210 to 363 matches the Rfam family "5.8S ribosomal RNA". The record is from RNAcentral. Lineage: Eukaryota; Fungi; Ascomycota; Dothideomycetes; Pleosporales; Pleosporaceae.